UGGGGAAUUUUGCACAAUGGGGGCAACCCUGAUGCAGCGACGCCGCGUGAUUUAGAAGGCCUUCGGGUUGUAAAAAUCUUUUGUAUAGGAAGAAAAUGACAGUACUAUACGAAUAAGGUCCGGCUAAUUACGUGCCAGCAGCCGCGGUAAUACGUAAGGACCGAGCGUUGUCCGGAAUCAUUGGGCGUAAAGGGUACGUAGGCGGUUAAAAAAGUUAGAAGUGAAAGGCUAUAGCUCAACUAUAGUAAGCUUUUAAAACUGUUUAACUUGAGAGAUGGAAGGGAAAGUGGAAUUCCUAGUGUAGCAGUGAAAUGCGCAGAUAUUAGGAGGAAUACCGGUGGCGAAGGCGACUUUCUGGCCAUUAUCUGACGCUGAGGUACGAAAGCGUGGGUAGCAAACAGG
Molecule: ribosomal RNA, 402 nt
Filed under: Actinomycetes bacterium
Lineage: Bacteria; Bacillati; Actinomycetota; Actinomycetes
Description: Actinobacteria bacterium partial 16S ribosomal RNA
Rfam family: Bacterial small subunit ribosomal RNA
Source: RNAcentral